GAUGAACGCUGGCGGCGUGCCUAAUACAUGCAAGUCGAGCGAACGGACGAGAAGCUUGCUUCUCUGAUGUUAGCGGCGGACGGGUGAGUAACACGUGGAUAACCUACCUAUAAGACUGGGAUAACUUCGGGAAACCGGAGCUAAUACCGGAUAAUAUUUUGAACCGCAUGGUUCAAAAGUGAAAGACGGUCUUGCUGUCACUUAUAGAUGGAUCCGCGCUGCAUUAGCUAGUUGGUAAGGUAACGGCCUACCAAGGCAACGAUGCAUAGCCGACCUGAGAGGAUGAUCAGCCACACUGGAACUGAGACACGGUCCAGACUCCUACGGGAGGCAGCAGUAGGGAAUCUUCCGCAAUGGGCGAAAGCCUGACGGAGCAACGCCGCGUGAGUGAUGAAGGUCUUCGGAUCGUAAAACUCUGUUAGUAGGGAAGAACAGAUGUGUAAGUAACUGUGCACAUCUUGACGGUACCUAAUCAGAAAGCAACGGCUAACUACGUG
This 497-nucleotide ribosomal RNA is filed under the name uncultured bacterium. Its description in RNAcentral is "partial 16S ribosomal RNA". It matches the Rfam family "Bacterial small subunit ribosomal RNA", at positions 28 to 507 of the family's 1533-position model. The record is from RNAcentral.